AUGAACGCUGGCGGCGUGCUUAACACAUGCAAGUCGAACGAAGCACUUUGGACAGAUUCUUCGGAUGAAGUUUUUGGUGACUGAGUGGCGGACGGGUGAGUAACGCGUGGGUAACCUGCCUCAUACAGGGGGAUAACAGUUAGAAAUGGCUGCUAAUACCGCAUAAGCGCACGGUACUGCAUGGUACAGUGUGAAAAACUCCGGUGGUAUGAGAUGGACCCGCGUCUGAUUAGGCAGUUGGCGGGGUAACGGCCCACCAAACCGACGAUCAGUAGCCGGUCUGAGAGGAUGAACGGCCACAUUGGAACUGAGACACGGUCCAGACUCCUACGGGAGGCAGCAGUGGGGAAUCUUCCGCAAUGGGCGAAAGCCUGACGGAGCAACGCCGCGUGAGUGAAGAAGGUCUUCGGAUCGUAAAGCUCUGUUGUCGGGGACGAAUGUUGAGGCCUAGAAUAUAGGUUUCAAAUGACGGUACCUGACGAGGAAGCCACGGCUAACUACGUG
This 504-nucleotide ribosomal RNA is filed under the name uncultured bacterium. Its description in RNAcentral is "bacterial SSU rRNA". It matches the Rfam family "Bacterial small subunit ribosomal RNA", at positions 29 to 507 of the family's 1533-position model. The record is from RNAcentral.